This 104-nucleotide small RNA is filed under the name Chryseobacterium sp. FH1. RNAcentral's name for it is "Flavo-1 RNA". It matches the Rfam family "Flavo-1 RNA". The record is from Rfam by way of RNAcentral. Lineage: Bacteria; Pseudomonadati; Bacteroidota; Flavobacteriia; Flavobacteriales; Weeksellaceae.
CCCUAGCCCCGAUUGCAGUGGAAAUCCUUUUUUGCGUUUACUGAAAGUUCUAUUGAGAGGGAAAUCGUCUGCAAAAAAGAUUGCAACGGAAAGCGGGAAAUAGC